This 324-nucleotide long non-coding RNA is filed under the name Salmo salar (Atlantic salmon). RNAcentral's name for it is "lncRNA (ENSSSAG00000089517.1)". Lineage: Eukaryota; Metazoa; Chordata; Actinopteri; Salmoniformes; Salmonidae. The record is from RNAcentral.
CUUGAUAAGCAGCAGGGGGUGCAGGGUGCUGUUGUUACUGUCGCCCCCAGAGAGGUGCAGGGUGCUGUUGUUACUGUCGCCCCCAGAGAGGUGCAGGGUGCUGUUGUUACUGUCGCCCCCAGAGAGGUGCAGGGUGCUGUUGUUACUGUCGCCCCCAGAGAGGUGCAGGGUGCUGUUGUUACUGUCGCCCCCAGAAAGGUGCAGGGUGCUGUUGUUACUGUCGGCCCCAGAGAGGUGAAUGGCACUGUGCGAUAGCUGGUCACUGAAGAACACCAGUACGUCCCUGGGUACGAGAGGAACCUCCGCAAUAUAGUCCUCCAGCCU